Molecule: long non-coding RNA, 819 nt
Filed under: Mytilus galloprovincialis (Mediterranean mussel)
Lineage: Eukaryota; Metazoa; Mollusca; Bivalvia; Mytilida; Mytilidae
Source: RNAcentral
UUUUUCUUCCACCGAUUUUGUCCAGCUUAUUUCUCGGAAUCCAAUGGACCAAUGUUGGUUAAACUCUACUAUAAUAAGGACCACCAUGAUAAGUUGUGCAGUGGACUUUGGCAUGUGCAUGAUGGCUACCGUUACCAUGGAAACUAGAAAAAUGUAAAAAAAUCCAGUUUUUUGUUUUCUCGAACUGUUUGGAUAGACUUGAACUUAGAAACAUUAUAUUUUAAUACAAUGUAGGUGCCCACUAUAUACAGGUAUUGGAUGAUUUUGACACUCAUUGGAACUACUAUGUUGCCAUGGAAACAACACCAAAAUUUUCAAAAAUAUCAAAAUGCUCAAAACUUAAUGAAACUUCACAGUAACGAUGAGCAACAUUGGAAGAUGUGGAAUUUGGCGUUGGAAUUUUCAAAAUAUCUGUUGUUACCAUGGAAACAGUGCAAAAAGGUCAAAACUUUGAAUUUUCACAGAACAUUCCAGAACAUCAAUGUUGAAUUUAUUCUAGAGACAUUAAAUCGUAUAUGAUGGUAUAUGAUUAUGGAGGGAAAAAAUUGCAGCGGGGGUUUGACUUUGGAAUAUUCAAAAUGGCCGCCGUUAUCAUGGAAACAGCAAAAAUACGAAAAACUUCAAAUUUUCAAAAUGCUUUAAAUUAAAUGAAACUUAUAACAAAUGUUGCCUAGCUUAUGUAGACUUCACUUUUGAGUUUGGAAUUUUCAAAAUGGCCGCCGUUGCCAUGGAAACAGCGAAAUUUUCUAAAUGGCUGCCGCUGGCCUGGCAAUGGGGGAAGGGUGCCAUCCGCUAUUGCUCGCAAUGGCAAAUCUAGUU